AACGACUCUCGGCAACGGAUAUCUCGGCUCUCGCAUCGAUGAAGAACGUAGCGAAAUGCGAUACUUGGUGUGAAUUGCAAAAUCCCGUGAACCAUCGAGUCUUUGAACGCAAGUUGCGCCCCAAGCCUUCUGGCCGAGGGCACGUCUGCCUGGGUGUCACAAA
This 163-nucleotide ribosomal RNA is filed under the name Bunias erucago. RNAcentral's name for it is "5.8S ribosomal RNA". It matches the Rfam family "5.8S ribosomal RNA". From Rfam's summary of the family: 5.8S ribosomal RNA (5.8S rRNA) is a component of the large subunit of the eukaryotic ribosome. It is transcribed by RNA polymerase I as part of the 45S precursor that also contains 18S and 28S rRNA. Lineage: Eukaryota; Viridiplantae; Streptophyta; Magnoliopsida; Brassicales; Brassicaceae. The record is from RNAcentral.